UAGAAGGCCAAUGAGAGAGUGGAAGGCGACGCACGCCCAGAGCCGGGCGAGGAACGGGAAUCGAUGGGAGGAGGCAGGGGCUGAUUAACACGAAGGGCCUCUGACCCCACUCCCAUCAGCAGCGGCCUCAGUCACAUUUGUCAGAUGAAGACGGUGCUGGAGAUCGUUCAGGCCUCAGUUUACCCUUUUCCAUACCAACGGGGCGGAGAGAAACUCAGACACAAUUGGAUGCAACUUCAGACAAUUAACUACCGGCAUGACCCCAAAGGGCCAUUUAACGUCUGUCUGCCUGUCUCCUCAUCUAUAAAAUGUAACCAUCCUAGUGUAGUAAGGAUCAAAUGGGAUAAUAAUUGUAAAGGGCGAUCAAGGCUGUAUAAAUGCUGUCACUAUUACAA
Long non-coding RNA from Antechinus flavipes (yellow-footed antechinus), 395 nucleotides. RefSeq lists it as uncharacterized. The record is from RefSeq and is a predicted model, not a curated record. NCBI's taxonomy places the organism in Eukaryota, Metazoa, Chordata, Mammalia, Dasyuromorphia, Dasyuridae. The transcript has 2 exons.